This 393-nucleotide ribosomal RNA is filed under the name uncultured bacterium. RNAcentral describes it as "partial 16S ribosomal RNA". It matches the Rfam family "Bacterial small subunit ribosomal RNA", at positions 523 to 918 of the family's 1533-position model. The record is from RNAcentral.
ACACGUAAGUUGCGAGCGUUGUUCGGAAUUAUUGGGCGUAAAGGGCAUGUAGGCGGUCUUGCAAGUCUGGUGUGAAAUUCCGUGGCUCAACCACGGAACUGCGUUGGAAACUGCAUGACUGGAGUCGCUGAGGGGCAGGCAGAAUUCCUGGUGUAGGGGUGAAAUCUGUAGAUAUCAGGAAGAAUACCAAUGGCGAAGGCAGCCUGCCAGCAGAUGACUGACGCUGAGGUGCGAAGGUGCGGGGAGCAAACAGGAUUAGAUACCCUGGUAGUCCGCACAGUCAACUAUGUGCACUGGAUGUCCGGACAGAAGUCUGGGUGUCGAAGCAAACGCGAUAAGUGCACCGCCUGGGGAGUAUGCCCGCAAGGGUGAAACUCAAAUGAAUUGACGGGG